Molecule: ribosomal RNA, 265 nt
Filed under: uncultured archaeon
Lineage: Archaea
Description: partial 16S ribosomal RNA
Rfam family: Archaeal small subunit ribosomal RNA
Source: RNAcentral
ACACGACUACAUUAGAUACCCCGGUAGUCCUAGCCGUAAACGAUACUCGCUAGGUGUCGGCCACGGUGCGACCGUUGUCGGUGCCGUAGGGAAGCCGUGAAGCGAGCCACCUGGGUAGUACGGCCGCAAGGCUGAAACUUAAAGGAAUUGGCGGGGGAGCACAACAACGGGUGGAGCUUGCGGUUUAAUUGGAUUCAACGCCGGAAAUCUUACCGGGACCGACAGCAACAUGAAGGCCAGGCUGAAGACUUUGCCGGAUUAGCUG